Molecule: long non-coding RNA, 220 nt
Filed under: Elaeis guineensis (African oil palm)
Lineage: Eukaryota; Viridiplantae; Streptophyta; Magnoliopsida; Arecales; Arecaceae
Description: long non-coding RNA (EGUI_LNC038909)
Source: RNAcentral
AUGCCAUUUGAAGUGAAAUUUUUAGUGCAGAGGUAAAAUGGUAAUUUUAAAACUUUUUCAAAAUCACUAUUUUAUUGUAAAAAUUAUUAAUUAAUAUAAUUAAUUAAUAUAUAUUUAUCCUACAUUAGGAUCUAAAUAUGAUAUACAGCAUACAUGCAUUUAAAUUUGAAAUUUAAAUUUGAAUAGUAAAUAAUUUACUGUUAUGUAUUCAGAACACAAU